GACCUUGAAUCUGCAAAUAUCUGCUAACAGAAAUUAGUAUUCUUACAAGUAAGUCCCUUCUUCUCCAUAAAGCUAUCUAGUUAAAGAUGAGAAGGCAUAAGGUCAUUUCACACUUACUGCUCCGUAGCCCUUUAAAACAUUCCCAACUAGUCCUUCAUGUCUAUUUCAGAGACUAAACGAUUGUGGUACAUCUCCUUUAAAGGAUGCAGGUAUGACUAGCAAUGAUAACUAACAAAAAGGCAUUUUUAAAAAAAACCUUAUAAAUCGACAGCUGCAGUGUUUUUUCUCUUUGUCCCGACAAAUUGAAUAAAAACCAAAGUAAUGAAACAAUUCUAACCUGGAAUUUCAAUGAUCCCUUUUGAUAAAAUGUAUUAAUCAGUUGUAUCUCACAGUGUCCUAAAUGUUGAAUUUCUGGAAUUUACGUGUAGACCUAAUCAUUUAGCAAUUUAUCAGUGCUGUUUUAAUUAAAGUCAAAUCUGCUUCUUACUACAUUAUGCUUAAGAAUAACAGCACAAUUGAAAAACCUUAGAAUAUGAAUAUACUUCAUUUUCUAAUAGACAAGCUGAUGAAAAUCCCUAAUUGCAGUUCAGAGUAUAUGAAGUUAAUUGGAGCUCCUUGAAGCCCUCAUCAAAACACUACCUAAAGUCAUAUACAAAAGAUGUUACACAUCCUUGCAGUGUGCCUGUGUCAAGUCAUUAAAGAGCAAAUAUGGAGUGCUGCCAAAAUCAGAAAGAAUGUAUUUAUGUGGGAAUUAAGAACAACAACUACAAUUUCAAAACAUCAAAAGUACACAAAGGUUUAUCAGAUGAAAAGGAACAUUUGUAUAGGAAAAAUCCCGAUGUAUUGGACCUCAUUUUCCAGCAGAGUCUCUUCUGAACUCACUGAUGGUUUUCUAAGGAUGCAGAAUUCCUUAUUACCAGCAUCAUCAUCAUCAUCAUCAUCACCACCACCAUCACUACAAUCAUCAUGUUUGUUUUUUCUUUUUUAUCCCCUGAACAAGAAUUGCAUACUCCUUGUAUGAUUUCCAGAAACAAAAGUUUAUACAAAAUAAAAUUAGUACUCCUCUCA
This 1068-nucleotide long non-coding RNA is filed under the name Vulpes vulpes (red fox). RNAcentral's name for it is "lncRNA (ENSVVUG00000030207.1)". The record is from RNAcentral. Lineage: Eukaryota; Metazoa; Chordata; Mammalia; Carnivora; Canidae.